GUUCAGGAAUUAAGGCCUGACCUGUGUAAGUAUAAGUAAUUCUACUUUGAAACUGCGAAUGGCCUCAUUAUAUCAGUUAUAGUUUAUUAGAAAUACUUUACUACUUGGAUAACCGUAGUAAUUCUAGGGCUAAUACAUGAAUGAAUCCUCAACUUCGGAGAAGGUGGGUUUAUUAACAUGAAAACCAUUUCUCUUCCGAUAUAAUAGUGAGUAAUAACAACCUUUNNNAUCGGAUGACAUAAGAUAACUACAUUUCUUUCCUGUUCCUGCCCUAUCACCUUGCAAUGGUAGUGUAUGGCACUGCCAUGGCAGGAACAGGUAAAGAUCAAUUUCGGUUCGAGAUCGGAAAGGGAGGCUAAGACAUCCCUACCACAUCCAAGGAACGCAGCUGGCCCUUACCUUACCCAGUCAUGAGGUGGGGAGGAAGUGACAUGACAUCGCGAUGCUCAUGUAUUUGGUUUUGGAAUUGCAUAGAGAACAAAGCACUAAUGUUAUCGAUAAACAAUUGGAGGGCAGGUCCCGCGCCAGCUGCCGCUCCAAUUCCAGAUCCUAUAGUUUAUGUUAAUGUUGUUGCCAUUACACAGCUCAAU
RNAcentral lists this ribosomal RNA (590 nucleotides) under Blastocystis sp. RNAcentral describes it as "partial small subunit ribosomal RNA". It matches the Rfam family "Eukaryotic small subunit ribosomal RNA", at positions 34 to 634 of the family's 1831-position model. Lineage: Eukaryota; Bigyra; Opalinata; Blastocystidae. The record is from RNAcentral.